UACGAAGGGGGCUAGCGUUGUUCGGAUUUACUGGGCGUAAAGCGCACGUAGGCGGACUAUUAAGUCAGGGGUGAAAUCCCGGGGCUCAACCCCGGAACUGCCUUUGAUACUGGUAGUCUUGAGUUCGAGAGAGGUGAGUGGAAUUCCGAGUGUAGAGGUGAAAUUCGUAGAUAUUCGGAAGAACACCAGUGGCGAAGGCGGCUCACUGGACUGGUAUUGACGCUGAUGUGCGAAAGCGUGGGGAGCAAACAGG
This 253-nucleotide ribosomal RNA is filed under the name uncultured bacterium. Its description in RNAcentral is "partial 16S ribosomal RNA". It matches the Rfam family "Bacterial small subunit ribosomal RNA", at positions 524 to 776 of the family's 1533-position model. The record is from RNAcentral.